GGGGGACUGGGGACAUCGGAAAUGAGGCUGUGACACGAUGCUGGAGCGCUUGCUUUGAGGCCUGUUUUAAGUUCACAUCAGCCCAGUGAGAGCACACGGCCGGCGGCUUUCCUCCAGCUCGGCACUUUGUGACAUAGAUUUCAAAUAUGGCGCCUUUCUUGUCCUGCCCCACCCCGACGCGUCCAGAACAAGCUGUCUCUUUGCAUUGGGGAUCAUCUCCCUUUCCCCGGGGGAAGUCAUGCCCAGAUGGAACGGCACCCCGCCUUCUCCAGGGCGGCCCAGGUCUGGCAGAGGGGGCCCGAGUGUCAACUGGGAGUCAGGAAGCCGCUGGGGAGAGCCAGACCCCGCGAAUACUGGGAUGCGUCAACGGGACUGUGGAUCUGAAGAACAGAAUGCUGAUGAUCCCCAGGAGGGUCUGAAGGUUAACGGGGGACUGGAGAGAUGAAGCUGGGAGCCUCCCGCCUCCUGCUGUGUGUCCCUGGCAAGUUGCUUGGCCUCUCUGAGCCUCGUUUCGUGCAUCUGUUGAGUGUGAAUGCAAAUACUGGUGCUCAAUAGGUGCUUAGCUCCCGGCUGUUGGGCUGUUGGACGAGAGGCUGGGAGAGGUGUUGCAGGUGGAGUCUCGGCGGGCAGGGGGAACCGCUCAAGACCAAUUCCGUUGCUCUCUUCUUGGCCAGGACAUGUAGCACACAGUAGGUGCCUCAUAAAACCCUGCCGACCUGUUUGGGUCCAAGACUCCUGAAUCUAAGGCUUCCUUUUCCCUUUUCUUUAAAAAAAAUUUUUUUUUAAUGUUUAUUUUUGAGACAGAGAGAGACAGAGCAUGAACGGGGAGGGUCAGAGAGGGGGAGACGCAGAAUCCAAAGCAGGUUGCAGGCUCUGAGCUGUCAGCACAGAGCCCGACGCAGGGCUCGAACGCCCGGACCGCGAGAUCAUGACCUGAGCCGACGUUGGAGGCUCAACCGACUGAGCCACCCAGGUGCCCCUCCUUUUCCCUUUUGACUUGUCUUCCAGCCUCACCUGCGCCUCCCUGGUGGGGCCACCGGCAGGCAGGCACACUCAGUGCUGAAGUGUAGAUUCUGAAGCCUGGGUUCAAGUCCUGACUUGGCACACAGUAGGUGCCACAGAACGACAUUGCCAUAACACUGAUUCGUACUGUUAGCGUGGGUUUCAGGCUCCAGAUUCUUCUGGGGGCUGCAGCAAGCAGACCUCUCCAUGCCGAUCAGCCCCUGCCCCAUCCCAAAGUGUGGGGUCAAGGCAGAGGUUUCAGCCCGGGGCAGUUUGCCCCCCCGCCCCCCCAAACUCCCCCAGGGGACAUCUGGCAAUAUCUGGAGACAUUUUUGGUUGUCAUGCCUGGGGGAGGUGAUACAGGCAUCUGGCGGGUAGAGGCUAAGGGGGUGCUAAGCGCCCUACAGUGCCCGGGACCUUGUCCAUCACAGACAUGAUCUGGCCCCAAGUACAAACAGUUUGGAGGUGGAGACUCUCUGGGUUAAGGAGCAGGUGCUCAGAGUCACACCCCCUACUGCCUGGCCCAGGGCGGGUGGCCUUUCCCUCUGAAUGUGUGUCCCUGUCUGCAAAAUGGGGGUGAUUGUAUCAGUUGCACAGGACUCUUGGGACGAAUAAGUGCAUUAAGGAUGUAAAGGGUUUAGGACAUGACCUGGCUCACAGGAUGUGCUGUCAGUGUGGACGAGUUACUAUUAACGACUGGAGGACAAUGACGGCGGGGGUCGCGUGUGUCUUCUGCCCCUCUGCCCUCUGAUUUCUGAACUGGUUCCUGAAACAGCCAGCUCUUGUUUGCCCGGACCCCAGUGGCCCCGUAGCCAAGCAAGUUCACCUCUGAAGCCAGAACAGACAGUGUUCAGCUCACCACGGCUGGAAAAAAUGUCCCCUAAGCCCAUCUGCUCAGGGAGGUGCGUGGAGCUGCGUCCCCCACGCUCAGGCAUUGGAGAAACAGAAUUUGAUAUAAAUAACUCAUCUUAACCUUUACUCUGAGCCCUCAUUCAGCUAUGGGUGGGGGAGGGCGAGGGAGAAACCAUAAUCGCAGUGGAUUCAGGGUCCCCCAUUCCCACCCAGGAGGUGAGCUGAGAGAAGGGUCAGGACGCAGGCAGUCUGCGUUAGAACCUGGCUUUACCGGGGCGCCUGGGGGGCUCAGUCGGUUGGGCGUCCGACUUUGGCUCCGGUCAUGAUCUCACGGUUCGUGAGUUCGAGUCCCAUGUCGGGCUCUGUGCUGACAGCUCGGAGCCUGGAGCCUGCUUCGGAUUCUGUGUCUCCCUCUC
Molecule: long non-coding RNA, 2270 nt
Organism: Acinonyx jubatus (cheetah)
Lineage: Eukaryota; Metazoa; Chordata; Mammalia; Carnivora; Felidae
Exons: 4
Source: RefSeq, a predicted model, not a curated record